AGUGAACGCUGGCGGUAGGCCUAACACAUGCAAGUCGAACGGCAGCACAGUAAGAGCUUGCUCUUACGGGUGGCGAGUGGCGGACGGGUGAGGAAUACAUCGGAAUCUACUUUUUCGUGGGGGAUAACGUAGGGAAACUUACGCUAAUACCGCAUACGACCUACGGGUGAAAGCAGGGGAUCUUCGGACCUUGCGCGAUCGAAUGAGCCGAUGUCGGAUUAGCUAGUUGGCGGGGUAAAGGCCCACCAAGGCGACGAUCCGUAGCUGGUCUGAGAGGAUGAUCAGCCACACUGGAACUGGGACACGGUCCAGACUCCUACGGGAGGCAGCAGUGGGGAAUAUUGGACAAUGGGCGCAAGCCUGAUCCAGCCAUACCGCGUGGGUGAAGAAGGCCUUCGGGUUGUAAAGCCCUUUUGUUGGGAAAGAAAAGCAGCAGGUUAAUACCCCGCUGUUCUGACGGUACCCAAAGAAUAAGCACCGGCUAACUUCGUG
This 492-nucleotide ribosomal RNA is filed under the name uncultured bacterium. RNAcentral's name for it is "partial 16S ribosomal RNA". It matches the Rfam family "Bacterial small subunit ribosomal RNA", at positions 29 to 507 of the family's 1533-position model. The record is from RNAcentral.